AUCGGGGGGUAACUACGCGAAAGCGUAGGUAAUACCGCAUACGCCCUACGGGGGAAAGCAGGGGAUCGCAAGACCUUGCACUAUUGGAGCGGCCGAUAUCGGAUUAGCUAUUUGGUGGGGUAACGGCUCACCAAGGCAACAAUCCGUAGCUGGUUUGAAAGGACAACCACCCUCCCUGGGACUGAGACAGGGCCCGGACCCCUACGGUAGGCAGCAGUGGGGAAUUUUGGACAAUGGGGGAAACCCUGAUCCAGCCAUCCCGCGUGUGCGAUGAAGGCCUUCGGGUUGUAAAGCACUUUUGGCAGGAAAGAAACGUCGUGGGUUAAUACCCCGCGAAACUGACGGUACCUGCAGAAUAAGCACCGGCUAACUACGUGCCAGCAGCCGCGGUAAUACGUAGGGUGCAAGCGUUAAUCGGAAUUACUGGGCGUAAAGCGUGCGCAGGCGGUUCGGAAGAAAGAUGUGAAAUCCCAGAGCUUAACUUUGG
RNAcentral lists this ribosomal RNA (487 nucleotides) under Achromobacter sp. Its description in RNAcentral is "bacterial SSU rRNA". It matches the Rfam family "Bacterial small subunit ribosomal RNA", at positions 135 to 618 of the family's 1533-position model. Lineage: Bacteria; Pseudomonadati; Pseudomonadota; Betaproteobacteria; Burkholderiales; Alcaligenaceae. The record is from RNAcentral.